This 3290-nucleotide long non-coding RNA is filed under the name Sus scrofa (pig). Its description in RNAcentral is "lncRNA (ENSSSCG00000058484.1)". The record is from RNAcentral. Lineage: Eukaryota; Metazoa; Chordata; Mammalia; Artiodactyla; Suidae.
GUGCUCCAUUGCAGUGCCCUCUAUGGCAGCCACCCCUGGGGUGACUGGGGUAGUAGGAAGUGCCUGGUCAUAGCACCCUCAGUGAUGUCUGUUCACUCCCACCUCUGGAAUCCAAGAUGGCUGUGGCAGUUUACACCUGCCCCCAGGGCAUGUUCCAGAGGUGCCCUGACACCUGAGAACCCACAUGUGCAGAGAGAAAAAGUUUCCUGUGGAUAUACCACCUCACCCUCUUGCACUCUGCAACAAUUGUGUCUUGUUGCUCUGGUGGGCCCAGGCAUCUUCCUGCACUCCCUCAGCUGUGGUACACAGCUCCCUAUCCCCCUCAGGCUAUUUCCACACAGCCAACCCUAGUCCUCUCCCCAGGACUGACCUCAGCACCUGGCCCGUCUUGAGAGUCUUAGGCUGUGGUGCACCUGGUGGUAGUUCUGAUCAUCUGUCCUGCUGUCUGUUCUGCACUCCUCAGGCCAGCUGAUGCACUCUUCUCUGAGGCUUUGAGGCCCCUCCAUCCUGGAUAAUCUUCUGCAACCCUUCCACCCUCAGUUAGGAGGCCUCCCAGUUGGCAGAUUCCUUUCCUCUUUCACAGCUCCCUCUCAGGAGUGCUGGUCCUGUCCUGAUUCCCUUUUUCUUUUCUUUUUCCUUUUGUUCUACCCAGUUAUGUGGAGGUUUUCAUGACCUUCUUGGAAGAUUUUGGUCUUCUGCCAUCCUUGAAUUCAUGUUCUAUGAGAAUCGUUCUACAUAUAGCUUUUUUUUUAAUGUUUGUGGGAAAAGAUAAGUUCCAUGUCUGCUCAUCUGCUAUCUUGAUCCUUUCCCUUCAUGGCAUUUUAUUCAUCCCCAAAUUAAUAAAAACACAGAUCUUAUUUCUUAUUCUUCUAUCCUCUCUUGCUCUAUCUCCCCUGUGGUUCUAGUGACUUUCUCACUAGACUUUGGACUUGGACAUGUGACUUGCUUUGAUGAAUUGUGGGUGGAAUGAUAGUGAGCUAGUUAGAAGCCUGGUGUAUUUCCACUCUUUGUUCAUGAAAAAAACAUGCCAUCUCCUUUGACCUCUACUUUUUUCCUUAGAUGACUUUAUCAACAGGGCAGAAGACUAUUUUUGAAACAAUCUGGACAAGUCAACUGUUAGUUUAUUAGAACAGACAAUAGACAAUACAGUUUUAAUCAGAGAGGAUACAUAUAGGGAAGAAGUCUGUUAUGGGUGACCUCACCUUCUUGUCAGAGUGAACUAGAAAAUGGAUAGGUGCUUAUUAACUCAGGAAAUCCAAUCUGACUGGCCAAACUGCCUUAUCUUGGCACAAGAGCUUUCUCUGACAGGGAUGAUUUUGAUGAAAUGAAUCAAAUCUCUUAAUAUGUUUGUAAGUUAUAGUGAAGCAGUAAACAACUGUAACAGAAGUGGAAUACCAAGUAGGAGCAGAAGCAGCCAGAGAGAAACAUGUUAAUGUCAGGUAUAAAAAUGAAGUUUAUCAGCUUUUCUGAAAAGGGCUGGGGUCAGGGCAACAUAUAAUGUGUUGCUAAAAGUACUAAAAGUACUGUGGAUUCUCAACAUCUUUGCAGCUACUGAAAUAGGUCCUAGUCUCCAUGAAGUCUGACUUUUAUGGAUUGCUGUUGCUGGAUCCUCUUAGAGCCUCAUUCUCUUAUUGCUGCACACAGAUUCACCAUACUGUUCCAUCACUUGAGGUCAUGUUCACCCCUCACAUUGUGUUGUGGGCAGAGACUCUAGCUAACACAGGUUCUAUUUGUACCCUUCCCUAUAACAGCUGCACGUUUUGACAUCUCAGAGCAUCAAAGAUUGCUUUUUAGGGACAGAAACCCAAGCUGCUUUACUUCCCUUCACUCCAUUCUUAGCAUUUAUUCUUGUAUACCUCCUUAUUUCUAAGAAAGCUUGGGCUGGUCUGGUGAUAAACAGAGGAGUAUAUGAGGUCAGUUGCAUCAUUUCUUCAAGACAAUUGGAACACAUCUAGAAUUGUUCUGCUGGCCUGGUUUCAGGAAGGCCUGUUCUGUUACUACAUUUCUUCUGAGCAGCCAUUUGGAUUUUUAAUAGAAUCAUCCUCAAGUCAGAGAUUCUUUCUCUCAUGGAAUGGAUAAUGCCCAGUGAGAGUUCCUUAGUGUGGGUAGGAACACUUUCAAUAAGACUCCCUAAAGCCCAUCAUACCUUUUAUUCAUUCAUCAUUGUUUUUGGUAUGAGUUUUUAGGCAACCACAAUGGGGAGUGGGUAUACAUUCAUAUCAGACAUGCUUUGCCAUGUCUUGAAUAUGAAAAUGUAGCAAAAUCAGAUGCCUCUUUUUUAAGGAGCUUAAAAAAUAUUCUUAGUGGAGAAAGUGAUUCAUAAUAUUUCUUGUCAGAGAUCCCUGUUUCCAAAACACACCUUAAUAUACCUCAAGAACAUAUGAUAUGUAUUUUUAAGAAACCUGCUUUAGGCAGUGUAAAUUAUACUCUUAUCUCUGAGGAUCAAGUAAUUAGGAAACUGGGACACAGUCUCAUUUGUCUUCCCAAAGAAACCUUGUAGAUUCUGUCCUCAUCUUUCUACUCAUCUAUUUUAACACUUAUUAUAUGCCAACCACUGCACUAAGUGCUUAAUAUGCAUCAAUUCAUUAUAUUACAUUGUAAUAUUGGUAGAUUUUUUGACUUUUAAAAAUGUAUCCUACAUGUUAUGCAUGUUAGUUAGGAACCAAAAAUAUAAUGAGUUAAAAAUUGCCAAAAUAGGAGUUCCCUUAUGGCACAGUUGGAUAAGGAUCCAAUGUUGUCACUGAAGUGGCUGGGGUGACUGUGGUGGCAUGGGUUUGACCCCUGGCCUGGAAACUUCCACAUGCCAUGGACGUGGCCAACCCCCCCUCCCAAACCCCCCUAAAACCCCACAAAAAUUUCCAAAAUGAAUGUCAUUCAUUGAAAAGAUUUCUACUUUAGCUCUUCUUGUAAAUUACUUUUAGGUGAGUACAAAGUCACAUUUGAAUGUAUUUUAAAUGUUUGUUAACCUUAUUGUAUGUAGGACUUUAAUGGCCAUAACAUAUUUUAAAAAUUAUCUUAAAUACAGGGCUUAUGGUAAAAAAUGUGUAACAAAAAUUAUCCAGAGUUCCCAUUGUGGCUCAGAAUAUUAAGGACCCAGCACAGUCUCCAUGAGGUUGCAAGUUUGAUCCCUGGCCUUGCUCAGUGGGUUAAGGAUCUGGCAUUUCCAUAAGCUGAGGUGUAGGUCAGGGAUGCAACUCAGAUCCACUGUUGUGUGGCUGUGGCCUGGGCCUCAGCUGCAGCUCCAAUUUUACCCCUAGCCUGAGAUCUCCCAUGUGCUUCAGGUGAGGUUG